AAAAUGUGACCUACCUCAUUUUUGGGGUGGAAAUUAGGAUCCUACCACUCUCAUCUUACAAGUAGAAUUUGUAAUGAAUGCAUGAUAGCAUUAUUUGGGAUCGACCUACUUUACUUAAUUCCAGGUAGCAAAUAAUGUGAGGGAGUCCUACAUAUAGUACAGCAGCUAGCGCUGCUACCUGAGAUUUAUCAACCUUUCUUUUCUUGUGCAAGAGAGAGGUGAGCGUAACAUAUAUGGAAAUAUAGAUAAUUUAUUAAUGAUGUCACUUGGCUCUUGCCCUAUUGCAGGCUGGGGAGGCAUUGGCUCUCGUCUCCCUUGAGUGGACAUCAGUGGAGCUCUAGUACUAGCAUAGAGGUCAAAGUCUCAUCCUUCAUUUCGGACACCAAUUGCCACAGGUCACCGUUGGCAAGCCCGCAUCGUCAAACAAGUGAGGGAUAGAAAAGAGCCCAAGCCUGUUGUACUUGUACCUUAGUGAUCAUUGAUGCUUCUAACAGUUCACUAAUUCACUAAUGCAAUGAGCAUAGCUGCUUGCUGUAGAACUGUAGAUCAGUUCACUGACCGAGUGGAUAAGCAAA
This 575-nucleotide long non-coding RNA is filed under the name Setaria italica (foxtail millet). RNAcentral describes it as "long non-coding RNA (SITA_LNC002582)". The record is from RNAcentral. Lineage: Eukaryota; Viridiplantae; Streptophyta; Magnoliopsida; Poales; Poaceae.